CGGCGAGCGAAGCGGGAAGAGCUCAAAUUUAUAAUCUGGCGCUUUCAGCGUCCGAGUUGUAAUCUCUAGAAGUGUUUUCCGCGUUGGACCGCACAUAAGUCUGUUGGAAUACAGCGGCACAGUGGUGAGACCCCCGUUCACGGUGCGGAUGCCCAAUGCUUUGUGAUACACUUUCGAAGAGUCGAGUUGUUUGGGAAUGCAGCUCAAAUUGGGUGGUAAAUUCCAUCUAAAGCUAAAUAUUGGCGAGAGACCGAUAGCGAACAAGUACCGUGAGGGAAAGAUGAAAAGCACUUUGGAAAGAGAGUUAACAGUACGUGAAAUUGUUGGAAGGGAAACGCUUGAAGUCAGACUUGCUAUUCGGGGCUUGCUCCGAGUUGCAGGCCAGCAUCAGUUUUUCGGGGCGGAAAAUCACGGAUUGAAGGUAGCAGUUUCGGCUGUGUUAUAGCUUUCCGUUGGAUACGUCCUGGGGGACUGAGGAACGCAGUGUGCUUUUAGCGAGGGCUUCGGCUCUYUCACACUUAGGAUGCUGGUGGAAUGGCUUUAAACGACCCGUCUUGAAACACGG
Molecule: ribosomal RNA, 565 nt
Filed under: Rhodosporidiobolus ruineniae
Lineage: Eukaryota; Fungi; Basidiomycota; Microbotryomycetes; Sporidiobolales; Sporidiobolaceae
Description: partial large subunit ribosomal RNA
Rfam family: Eukaryotic large subunit ribosomal RNA
Source: RNAcentral